RNAcentral lists this unclassified non-coding RNA (269 nucleotides) under Hevea brasiliensis (rubber tree). Lineage: Eukaryota; Viridiplantae; Streptophyta; Magnoliopsida; Malpighiales; Euphorbiaceae. The record is from RNAcentral.
UGAAAAUCAAAUAAUCAAUAAGGUUGGUGUUAAUAUGCUAUAAACUUGUGCCUAUUCCAAGUUAAUUAUGUUUGCUUUCUUCUUGUAUGAUCUUAAGCCAGUGAAUAUAGAAUACUUACCAUAAUAUUUCCUUAUUCAUUUCAAAUGGAGUACCAUCAUACCAUGGUUAUGUGAGGGAGACUGCUGCAAAUGCUAGGCAGUUAUGGGGAUAAAUCCAUGGGCUGGCUGAAGGCAGCGUGAUUUAAACUUGGCUGGUGCUUUAGGAGGCA